UCGCACGAUGCAAACCCCGGGCUUCUCUUGUAUGUUUUCAUGAAGAUGAAAGGCCCAAUGCCCGUGCAAUAUGAAUCAGCUGUUGAGUGUUGCAGAUUGGCCGAUCUCUCGGUCUAUAGCUGUGUCAAAGCAACAACAACAUCU
Non-coding RNA from Amborella trichopoda, 144 nucleotides. Lineage: Eukaryota; Viridiplantae; Streptophyta; Magnoliopsida; Amborellales; Amborellaceae. The record is from Rfam.